This 68-nucleotide transfer RNA is filed under the name Crocidura shantungensis quelpartis. RNAcentral describes it as "tRNA-Cys". It matches the Rfam family "tRNA". Rfam says of the family: Transfer RNA (tRNA) molecules are approximately 80 nucleotides in length. Their secondary structure includes four short double-helical elements and three loops (D, anti-codon, and T loops). The record is from RNAcentral. Lineage: Eukaryota; Metazoa; Chordata; Mammalia; Eulipotyphla; Soricidae.
AGUCCUGUGGUGAAAAAGUCAUAUUGAAUUGCAAAUUCAAAGAAGCAGCUUCAAUUCUGCCGGGGCUU